Molecule: ribosomal RNA, 306 nt
Filed under: Physconelloides eurysema
Lineage: Eukaryota; Metazoa; Arthropoda; Insecta; Psocodea; Philopteridae
Description: partial 12S ribosomal RNA
Source: RNAcentral
GUAAGUGGAUUGGACUAAUAAAAACAAAAAACAUGGCGGUUUUCUAUCAUAUUAGAGGGACAUGUGUUGAAAACGAAUUUGCACGAAUAACUGUUCUCUUUCUUGAAAUCAUUUUACAUACCGCUGUCUGAAAGAUUCUUUUCAAGAAGAUAUCUUUUUUCUUGAAAUAAGGCAAGUAAAGGUGUAGACCAUGGGGGAGAAAAUAUGUGUCUCAUUUUUAUUAAAGAAGAGGUGAAAUUCUUCAAAAAGAAUUUAACAGUAAAGCUAGUUAAUUAAACUAGCUUGAAUUGGAAAUAGAAAGUGUAC